This 274-nucleotide ribosomal RNA is filed under the name uncultured prokaryote. Its description in RNAcentral is "partial 16S ribosomal RNA". It matches the Rfam family "Bacterial small subunit ribosomal RNA", at positions 524 to 798 of the family's 1533-position model. The record is from RNAcentral.
UACAUAGGGGCGAGCGUUAUCCGGAAUUAUUGGGUGUAAAGGGUACGUAGGCGGGCUUGCAAGUCUGAUUUGAAAGCACAUGGCUUAACCAUGUGAGGUAAUUAGAAACUACGAGUCUAGAGAGUGGUAGAGGUAAAUGGAAUUCCAAGUGGAGCGGUGAAAUGCGUAGAGAUUUGGAGGAACACCAGUGGCGAAGGCGGUUUACUGGGCCACAUCUGACGCAGAUGUACGAAAGCGUGGGGAGCAAACAGGAUUAGAUACCCCUGUAGUCCCU